GCCGGCGAAGCCAGUUGGCAGAACAUCUUGGCUGUCAACAACAAACUAGUCAUCUAUUCGAAAGUUUGUUGUUGACAGCCAAGAUGUUCUGCCAACUGGCUUCGCCGGCA
This 110-nucleotide microRNA precursor is filed under the name Paramuricea clavata. The record is from RNAcentral. Lineage: Eukaryota; Metazoa; Cnidaria; Anthozoa; Malacalcyonacea; Plexauridae.